UGUGACCUCAAAUCACGUAGGACUACCCGCUGAACUUAAGCAUAUCAAUAAGCGGAGGAAAAGAAACUAACAAGGAUUCCCCUAGUAACUGCGAGUGAAGCGGGAAAAGCUCAAAUUUAAAAUCUGGCAGUCUUUGGCUGUCCGAGUUGUACCGUGUACAAGUCUCCUGGAAUGGAGCGUCAUAGAGGGUGAGAAUCCCGUCUUUGACACGGACUACCAGGGCUUUGUGAUGCGCUCUCAAAGAGUCGAGUUGUUUGGGAAUGCAGCUCAAAAUGGGUGGUAAAUUCCAUCUAAAGCUAAAUAUUGGCGAGAGACCGAUAGCGAACAAGUACCGUGAGGGAAAGAUGAAAAGAACUUUGGAAAGAGAGUUAAACAGUACGUGAAAUUGCUGAAAGGGAAACGCUUGAAGUCAGUCGCGUCGUCCAGGGAUCAACCUUGCUUUUGCUUGGUGCACUUUCUGGCUGACGGGUCAGCAUCAAUUUUGAUCAUUGGAAAAAGAUUAAGGGAAUGUGGCAUCUUUGGAUGUGUUAUAGCCCUUGGUUGCAUACGAUGGUUGGGAUUGAGGAACUCAGCACGCCGCAAGGCCGGGUUUUAAACCACGUACGUGCUUAGGAUGCUGGCAUAAUGGCUUUAAUCGACCCGUCUUGAAACACGGACCAAGGAGUCUAACAUGCCUGCGAGUGUUUGGGUGGAAAACUCGAGCGCGUAAUGAAAGUGAAAGUUGAGAUCCCUGUCGUGGGGAGCAUCGACGCCCGGACCAGACCUUUUGUGACGGUUCCGCGGUAGAGCAUGUAUGUUGGGACCCGAAAGAUGGUGAACUAUGCCUGAAUAGGGUGAAGCCAGAGGAAACUCUGGUGGAGGCUCGUAGCGAUUCUGACGUGCAAAUCGAUCGUCAAAUUUGGGUAUAGGGGCGAAAGAC
Molecule: ribosomal RNA, 919 nt
Filed under: Cortinarius sp. 7 MD-2018
Lineage: Eukaryota; Fungi; Basidiomycota; Agaricomycetes; Agaricales; Cortinariaceae
Description: eukaryotic LSU rRNA
Rfam family: Eukaryotic large subunit ribosomal RNA
Source: RNAcentral